Molecule: ribosomal RNA, 359 nt
Filed under: Ditylum brightwellii
Lineage: Eukaryota; Bacillariophyta; Thalassiosirophyceae; Lithodesmiales; Lithodesmiaceae
Description: partial Bacterial large subunit ribosomal RNA
Rfam family: Bacterial large subunit ribosomal RNA
Source: RNAcentral
CAAAUCCGGCACUCGUUAGGCUGAGCUGUGAUGGGGAGAGGAAAUUGUUUCCUUGAGUCGUUGAUUUCACACUGCCGAGAAAAGCCUCUAGAUAGAUAACAGGUGCCCGUACCGCAAACCGACACAGGUAGUCAAGAUGAGAAUUCUAAGGUGAGCGAGCGAACUCUCGUUAAGGAACUCGGCAAAAUGACCCCGUAACUUCGGGAGAAGGGGUGCUCUUUAGGGUGCAAGCCCAGAAGAGCCGCAGUGAAUAGGCCCAAGCGACUGUUUAUCAAAAACACAGGUCCGUGCGAAGUCGUAAGACGAUGUAUACGGACUGACGCCUGCCCGGUGCUGGAAGGUUAAGAGGACCGGUUAGC